AUUGAACGCUGGCGGAAUGCUUUACACAUGCAAGUCGAGCGGCAGCGCGGGGGCAACCCUGGCGGCGAGCGGCGAACGGGUGAGUAACAUAUCGGAACGUACCCAGUCGUGGGGGAUAACUAUCCGAAAGGAUAGCUAAUACCGCAUACGUCCUGAGGGAGAAAGCGGGGGAUCGCAAGACCUCGCGCGAUUGGAGCGGCCGAUAUCGGAUUAGCUAGUUGGUGGGGUAAAGGCUCACCAAGGCGACGAUCCGUAGCGGGUCUGAGAGGAUGAUCCGCCACACUGGAACUGAGACACGGUCCAGACUCCUACGGGAGGCAGCAGUGGGGAAUUUUGGACAAUGGGCGCAAGCCUGAUCCAGCCAUGCCGCGUGAGUGAAGAAGGCCUC
This 388-nucleotide ribosomal RNA is filed under the name uncultured bacterium. RNAcentral describes it as "bacterial SSU rRNA". It matches the Rfam family "Bacterial small subunit ribosomal RNA", at positions 29 to 418 of the family's 1533-position model. The record is from RNAcentral.